Molecule: long non-coding RNA, 912 nt
Organism: Onychostoma macrolepis
Lineage: Eukaryota; Metazoa; Chordata; Actinopteri; Cypriniformes; Cyprinidae
Exons: 3
Source: RefSeq, a predicted model, not a curated record
GCUUUAUCAAGACCAGGCUUGCUCUGCGGUGAGUGACGCGGUGUAAAGAGCCAGGAGGAGGAGGAGAGGGGAGCAGCUGAAUCGACUCUGUCCACUGUUGUGGUUCUACUGAAGCUGUGAUCCGAUUGGUCCUCUCUGCUCUGGUGGUUGUGGCUACUGUCAUUCUUCUGGUUUAUGACAUCAGAUCCAGAAGAGCUCAACAAGAUCAAACACAUAUUCACACAUCAGGUCACCGUAGCCACCAGAUCAGAUGGUCACUGCAGUCACCCGGAUCCAGGCCAUAUCCAGAUCAGAUGGUGGUUCAGCACCUAGAGAUGACUUCUACAGCCUCAGAGACAGAUCCCCAGUGAAGACAUCGUCACCUAGACGGCCAUCAGGCCAGAUAAAAAUAAACCUACCAUUAAAAUUGUAGACUGAUCAUUUCUUUGUCAGUGGGCAAACGUACAAAAUAAGCAAGGGAUCAAAUAAUCUUUCCCCACUGUAUAUAUAGGGAGAAGCGUCCGACCCCCCAGUGUUCCCACAUCUUCGAAUCUGGCCCCCUUUAGGAAAAGGUUGGACACCCCUGACUAAAACUAUAAAAACAUUUCUGUUAAUUAAAUUACAUCUAAAAUAAAACAAAAUUAAUAAAUAAAAUAUAAAUUGGAUAUUGAACAAAAACUGGAAGUGUUGCCUUGGCAAUAAACUGAAAUGAUUAUUUUAAAAAAGCAUAAAGAAAGCUUCUUUAUAUCUUGUAUCAGGGAAUUCUGACCAGUGUUCUGUUUCAUGCACACUGUAACCAAUUUUUGUCAUUUGAACAGUAUUUGACUGUAAUAUGUGCAGUAAGAUACUGUAAAAUGUGUAUACAUGUAUUUGAAUGUAAACCGCAAAGGAUUAUGGGAAAAUAUAUGGUCACUACUGUAUUUCUUCACUACU